AUAGCAAAGAACGGGAGCUUGUGUGCCAGGCUGAGAGGGAGUUAGAACUUCGACCGCACUUGAUUUGGGUAAUGCCAACGUAAGUAUUCUUUAUAAUUAUAAGA
This 104-nucleotide non-coding RNA is filed under the name Candidatus Parepulonipiscium sp. PG-Nuni2H_MBin01. RNAcentral describes it as "Epulopiscium sp. Nuni2H_MBin001 TPP riboswitch aptamer (THI element)". It matches the Rfam family "TPP riboswitch aptamer (THI element)". Rfam says of the family: Vitamin B(1) in its active form thiamin pyrophosphate (TPP) is an essential coenzyme that is synthesised by coupling of pyrimidine and thiazole moieties in bacteria. The previously detected thiamin-regulatory element, thi box was extended, resulting in a new, highly conserved RNA secondary structure, the THI element, which is widely distributed in eubacteria and also occurs in some archaea. The record is from Rfam by way of RNAcentral. RNAcentral also lists the same sequence under 1 other name. Lineage: Bacteria; Bacillati; Bacillota; Clostridia; Lachnospirales; Lachnospiraceae.